GAUGAACGCUGGCGGCGUGCCUAAUACAUGCAAGUCGAGCGAACAGACGAGGAGCUUGCUCCUCUGACGUUAGCGGCGGACGGGUGAGUAACACGUGGAUAACCUACCUAUAAGACUGGGAUAACUUCGGGAAACCGGAGCUAAUACCGGAUAAUAUAUUGAACUGCAUGGUUCAAUAGUGAAAGACGGUUUUGCUGUCACUUAUAGAUGGAUCCGCGCCGAAUUAGCUAGUUGGUAAGGUAACGGCUUACCAAGGCGACGAUGCGUAGCCGACCUGAGAGGUUGAUCGGCCACACUGGAACUGAGACACGGUCCAGACUCCUACGGGAGGCAGCGGUAGGGAAUCUUCCGCAUUGGGCGAAAGCCUGACGGGGCAACGCCGCGUGAGUGAGGAAGGUCUUCGGAUCGUAAAACUCUGUUAUUAGGGAAGAACAAAUGUGUAAGUAACUAUGCACGUCUUGACGGUACCUAAUCAGAAAGCCACGGCUAACUACGUG
RNAcentral lists this ribosomal RNA (497 nucleotides) under uncultured bacterium. Its description in RNAcentral is "partial 16S ribosomal RNA". It matches the Rfam family "Bacterial small subunit ribosomal RNA", at positions 28 to 507 of the family's 1533-position model. The record is from RNAcentral.